UUUCCGUAGGUGAACCUGCGGAAGGAUCAUUACACGAAGAGGCCUCCAUCGGUCUUUCAACCUUGCCUAUCGUACCCUUUUUGUUGUUCCCUCGGCGGGGUAAAGCCCGCCGGCGGGAAGCUCGAAAAACCCUUUGCAAUCAGCAUCCAAAAACUCUGAUUACAAAACCUUAAAUCGUUACAACUUUCAACAAUGGAUCUCUUGGUUCUG
Molecule: unclassified non-coding RNA, 210 nt
Filed under: root metagenome
Description: partial contains small subunit ribosomal RNA, internal transcribed spacer 1, and 5.8S ribosomal RNA
Source: RNAcentral